RNAcentral lists this ribosomal RNA (253 nucleotides) under uncultured bacterium. Its description in RNAcentral is "partial 16S ribosomal RNA". It matches the Rfam family "Bacterial small subunit ribosomal RNA", at positions 524 to 776 of the family's 1533-position model. The record is from RNAcentral.
UACAGAGGUCUCAAGCGUUGUUCGGAUUCAUUGGGCGUAAAGGGUGUGUAGGUGGCGCCGUAAGUCGGGUGUGAAAUUUCGGAGCUUAACUCCGAAACUGCAUUCGAUACUGCGGUGCUUGAGGACUGGAGAGGAGACUGGAAUUCAUGGUGUAGCAGUGAAAUGCGUAGAGAUCAUGAGGAAGACCAGUGGCGAAGGCGGGUCUCUGGACAGUUCCUGACACUGAGAGACGAAAGCUAGGGGAGCGAAUGGG